This is a non-coding RNA of Arachis ipaensis, 589 nucleotides long. NCBI's taxonomy places the organism in Eukaryota, Viridiplantae, Streptophyta, Magnoliopsida, Fabales, Fabaceae. The record is from RefSeq and is a predicted model, not a curated record.
CUUCAUUUUUAAUGUAAAUUACAAAAUAAUUAAUUUUUAUAAUUCACUGAGUUAACUAUUUCAUAUAGAAUCGAUUAUUAUUUUUUGUUUGUUUGUUCUGUUGGCCACUUUGAUUGAGUUAAAUAGUUCAUAGAGAAUAAUGUAAAUUUUAUUCUUUACUCCUUUAUAGAGAAAGAUUGCCACUCUGUUAAUUGUUAUUGAUUUUAAUUUGUUAAUGGUUAAUUAUUAGUGCUGCUGCCAAGAAUCGCGAGUUAACUUGCAAAAUCAUACGUUUUUGCGAUUCUAUUCCUCUAUUUCAUAACGUUCUUGCUUUGCGUCUCAGAGAAGUAGUGUCUGCGUAGAAUUGAUGAGUAAGCACGCCAAAUCGUCAUAAUCGCGUCUACGGUGGUGACCGAUAUCCAAGGUAGCAGGGUGGCAAGAAGUUGCUGUCCAUGGCUCAAUUCAAAACCCAACUCAAAUCCUAGCCCCAAUCCUUUGAGAAGAAGGCUUGAACCCUAGGUUUAUGUGAGUAUGGUUGGACUGCAAACAUGAAGAGGAUUAUGAAGGCUCAUGUCUUGAGAGAUAGCGGCGUGACUGGCUACAUAUCUAG